UAUCCCCAAAUCAAAAUCCCUAAAUCAAACCCCCCAUCCUUCUUCAGUUCUUCUUCAUCGGUUUUUAAAGUUAGGCAAAUCCCUCACUGUCCCUCACCGUAGCUAUGCGUACUUGGUGUUGCUAAUAUUGUUGCUGUAAAAGCUACUGCUAUGGAAAAGGUUGUUGAUGUUGUUGUUACUGCAAAAUAAAAUACCAUUGGAUCUCCGAAACUAGCGUACCUUCUGGCCGCUUCAUUCUCUUCAGUCUUCACUCUUCACCUCGACUUUCUACAUUUCCUUGACCCUAGACCCAGCAGCCCAGUUAGUUUAUGUAAAUUCGAUGACCGCCAUUGAAUCGAGGAAAUCUCGGUCUUGUGGAUGUUAUCUUCAGCUUUCAGAAUGAAAGUUUGUCUUAUUGAAGUGUUGGAUUCUAUAGGACCUUCAACAAGUGGAGACAAAGGCAAAGAAAAGAUUGUCUAAGCUUUCGGCUUUUCGACGAAAGCAUAUUCCUGAUAAGUAGUGCUAGUGUGAGCGGUGUGGCCUUCAAGGGAGUGAUCCAAGCUGAUUAUUUAGCUUCUAUUAGUAGGUGUUAUAUGCUUAUUUAUGUUUAGGGAAUAAAGACAAUGUAAUAGGCCAAUAAGGUAGAUUUUAUAUCGGUUAUGGUAAGUCAAUUUUUGGGUUGGUUGCAUGUUAUUUAUGUUUGGAAGUUUAUGGACUUGAACAUGAUAUUAGUCUACUAUUUCAGAUAUUUUGAUGUUUCUUUAACUAGGUGAAUGAAACAUGUUGUUUGGGAUUAAGUUUGAA
This is a long non-coding RNA of Gossypium raimondii (Peruvian cotton), 783 nucleotides long. RefSeq lists it as uncharacterized. The record is from RefSeq and is a predicted model, not a curated record. The transcript is spliced from 4 exons. Lineage: Eukaryota; Viridiplantae; Streptophyta; Magnoliopsida; Malvales; Malvaceae.